Molecule: ribosomal RNA, 608 nt
Filed under: uncultured bacterium
Lineage: Bacteria
Description: SSU rRNA
Rfam family: Bacterial small subunit ribosomal RNA
Source: RNAcentral
CAGCUAGUUGGUGAGGUAACGGCUCACCAAGGCUACGACGGGUAGGGGACCUGAGAGGGUGACCCCCCACAAUGGAACUGAAACACGGUCCAUACACCUACGGGUGGCAGCAGUAGGGAAUAUUGCACAAUGGGCGAAAGCCUGAUGCAGCAACGCCGCGUGUGCGAUGAAGGCCUUCGGGUCGUAAAGCACUUUUCUGAGAGAUGAGAAAGGACAGUAUCUCAGGAAUAAGUCUCGGCUAACUACGUGCCAGCAGCCGCGGUAAAACGUAGGAGGCGAGCGUUAUCCGGAUUCACUGGGCGUAAAGCGCGCGCAGGUGGUUCGGUAAGUUGGGCGUGAAAUCUACCCGGCUCAACUGGGAGAGGUCGUCCAAGACUACCGAACUUGAGAGCAGAAGAGGAAGAUGGAAUUCCCGGUGUAGUGGUGAAAUGCGUAGAUAUCGGGAGGAACACCAGUGGCGAAGGCGAUCUUCUGGUCUGUUUCUGACACUCAGACGCGACAGCUAGGGUAGUAAACGGGAUUAGAGACCCCGGUAAUCCUAGCCGUAAACGAUGUGAACUUGGCGUUGGUGGGUUAAACUCCAUCAGUGCCGAAGCAAACGCGAUAAG